CGGGGAUUUUUAUUUCGGUAGAAAUUCUAGUGGCAAACGGGUGAGUAACGCGUAGACAACCUGCCUUUCCGAUGGGGACAACAGUUCGAAAGGACUGCUAAUACCGAAUGACGUGUCUCCUUCGCAUGGAAGAGAUACCAAAGACGGCCUCUAUUUAUAAGCUGUCGCGGAAAGAUGGGUCUGCGUCUGAUUAGCUGGUUGGAGGGGUAACGGCCCACCAAGGCGACGAUCAGUAGCCGGUCUGAGAGGAUGAACGGCCACAUUGGGACUGAGAAACGGCCCAAACUCCUACGGGAGGCAGCAGUGGGGAAUCUUCCGCAAUGGACGAAAGUCUGACGGAGCAACGCCGCGUGAGUGAAGAAGGUCUUCGGAUCGUAAAGCUCUGUUGUACGGGACGAAUGUUGAAGGCGUGAAUAAUGCCAUCAAAUGACGGUACUGUACGAGGAAGCCACGGCUAACUACGUGCCAGCAGCCGCGGUAAUACGUAGGUGGCGAGCGUUGUCCGGAAUUAUUGGGCGUAAAGGGAGCGCAGGUGGGAAGGUAAGUCUGUUUUAAAAGCGUCGGGCUCAACCCGAUGAGGGAACAGAAACUAUUUUUCUUGAGUGCAGGAGAGGAAAGCGGAAUUCCUAGUGUAGCGGUGA
This 641-nucleotide ribosomal RNA is filed under the name uncultured Selenomonas sp. RNAcentral describes it as "bacterial SSU rRNA". It matches the Rfam family "Bacterial small subunit ribosomal RNA", at positions 67 to 684 of the family's 1533-position model. The record is from RNAcentral. Lineage: Bacteria; Bacillati; Bacillota; Negativicutes; Selenomonadales; Selenomonadaceae.